ACGAACGCUGGCGGCGUGCUUAACACAUGCAAGUCGAACGGAAAGGCCCUGCUUGCCGGGUACUCGAGUGGCGAACGGGUGAGUAACACGUGGGUGAUCUGCCCUGCACUUCGGGAUAAGCUUGGGAAACUGGGUCUAAUACCGGAUAGGAACCAUCUUUAGUGUGGUGGUUGGAAAGUUUUUUCGGUGUAGGAUGAGCUCGCGGCCUAUCAGCUUGUUGGUGGGGUAAUGGCCUACCAAGGCGGCGACGGGUAGCCGGCCUGAGAGGGUGUACGGCCACAUUGGGACUGAGAUACGGCCCAGACUCCUACGGGAGGCAGCAGUGGGGAAUAUUGCACAAUGGGCGCAAGCCUGAUGCAGCGACGCCGCGUGGGGGAUGAAGGCCUUCGGGUUGUAAACUCCUUUCGCUAGGGACGAAGCUUUGUUGUGACGGUACCUAGAUAAGAAGCACCGGCUAACUACGUG
This 465-nucleotide ribosomal RNA is filed under the name uncultured bacterium. Its description in RNAcentral is "partial 16S ribosomal RNA". It matches the Rfam family "Bacterial small subunit ribosomal RNA", at positions 29 to 507 of the family's 1533-position model. The record is from RNAcentral.